This 266-nucleotide ribosomal RNA is filed under the name uncultured bacterium. RNAcentral's name for it is "partial 16S ribosomal RNA". It matches the Rfam family "Bacterial small subunit ribosomal RNA", at positions 793 to 1055 of the family's 1533-position model. The record is from RNAcentral.
GUCCACGCCCUAAACGAUGUCUACUAGUUGUUGGUGGAGUAAAAUCCAUGAGUAACGCAGCUAACGCGUGAAGUAGACCGCCUGGGGAGUACGGUCGCAAGAUUAAAACUCAAAUGAAUUGACGGGGGCCCGCACAAGCGGUGGAUUAUGUGGAUUAAUUCGAUGCAACGCGAAAAACCUUACCUGGCCUUGACAUGUACGGAACUUUCCAGAGAUGGAUUGGUGCUCGAAAGAGAACCGUAACACAGGUGCUGCAUGGCUGUCGU